AAAACGUCAAGUGUCAUUGAUCGGAAAACAAAAUAAAAACAACGAAAAGAAGAAGAUGAACAAGAAAACAAAAAAGAGGAUUUUGCAAUCGAUUCCUUAAAAUCAAAAGGUGAUAUCUGGAAAUAUGCAGACAGUGCAUCCCCUGCCUGAUCUGUCCGUCCGCAAUCCGGUACAAUUGUCUCGGCCAUCAGAAGUCACAAAGUGUCUGGAUGGUUUAUUUUUCUGCAGCAACACACCCGGAAUAAGCGAUUUUCUGUCGUAUUGGCUGCCGGGACUAUUAUGCAGCUGUGGCGAAAUGUGUCCUGCAGGAGAUGGCUUAAGAAAAGCCCUCGGAAAACUUCCUGAUCCGUUGUUUCGUCUUUCGGAGCUGCUGCAUAGCUGUGGCAACGGAAACCAGAAAGAUGAUACCCAUUUAAAAUCAAAACCCCCUAGAAUCAACUAUACAGAAUUCCAAGAACCAUUGUCCGAAGUCCGAACUAUAAGGUAACAUAAAUAAAAAUUGAAUAAAAAGUGAA
This is a long non-coding RNA of Uranotaenia lowii, 515 nucleotides long. RefSeq lists it as uncharacterized. The transcript is spliced from 2 exons. NCBI's taxonomy places the organism in Eukaryota, Metazoa, Arthropoda, Insecta, Diptera, Culicidae. The record is from RefSeq and is a predicted model, not a curated record.